CUGCUCUGACCUCAAAAAAUGAAUUGUAGGCGGCUCGCGGGCCUUGGGCUUCCCCGGAAGCAUGAGCCCUCUCGCCCGCAGCCGCCGACGGACGGUGUGCGCCGGGCCCCGGGUGCGCAGCCUCAGGAUCCCCAGCGCCCGCAGCUCGGGCGCUCGCGGCAGGCGAUCUCUGGGUGACCACGUCUGCGAGGGACUUUGCUAUCCGUCUGCCAGGACCUGGGGAGAAAGAACCGCCAGCUCCCUAUCCCUUCCCCCUCUGCCAGCAUUUCGGGCACCCUGCAGGGACUCAUUUUGGGGUUCCCACUGACUUCCAGGAAGGACGGGAGUCCUUCUGUGACCCGAGCUCGGGCCGCCACCUGUCUUUGCCGCAGUGACCCUUCUCCCAUGACCCUGCGGUGCCUUGAGUCCUCCGGGAAUGGCGCGGAAGGCACGCGGAGCCAGUGGGGGACCGCGGGGUCAGCAGAGGAGCCCUCCCUGGAGGCGGCGCGUCUGGCGAAGGCCUUGCGGGAGCUCGGGCAAACAGGAUGGUACUGGGGAAGUAUGACUGUUAAUGAAGCCAAAGAGAAAUUAAAAGAGGCACCAGAAGGAACUUUCUUGAUUAGAGAUAGCUCGCACUCAGACUACCUACUAACAAUAUCUGUUAAAACAUCAGCCGGACCAACUAAUCUGCGGAUUGAAUAUCAAGAUGGGAAAUUCAGAUUGGACUCUAUCAUAUGUGUCAAGUCCAAGCUUAAACAAUUUGACAGUGUGGUUCAUCUGAUCGACUACUAUGUUCAGAUGUGCAAGGAUAAGCGGACCGGCCCAGAAGCCCCCCGGAAUGGCACUGUUCACCUUUACCUGACCAAACCGCUCUACACGUCAGCGCCACCUCUGCAGCAUCUCUGUAGACUCACCAUUAACAAAUGCACCGGCACCAUCUGGGGAUUGCCUUUACCAACAAGACUAAAAGAUUACUUGGAAGAAUAUAAAUUCCAGGUAUAAGCGUUUCUCUUUUUCUAAACAUGCCUCACGUAGAGUAUCUCCGAAUGCAACUAUAUGUAAAAGAGAACCAAAACUUGAGUGGACUGCUCUGGAUGACUACACGGAAUCCUUUCUAAGAACAGCUGAAGUCAAUCUAAUUUAAAUGUGUCCGAGGUAGCUAGGUAUUUAAAGCCCCCCCUUCCCCUCCCCAGAUAUUUUCACCAGAGGGAUGUUUCCCUUCCUAAGGUGGACUGAGACCAGUUGUUGUUUUAAAUGAAAAAUAAAAUGUCCCAAGUCAAGGCUGAAGGAGCAUUUAUCAGAAUGCCUUGCCUUCCUGAGGUUCCUUUCCAUUAGGUCAAAGGUCCAAGCUCUAGUAGUAAAGAGCUGCACCUAGCAGUACUGAAGAAGUGGAAGGAACUAAGCUGACACAGGCGUAACUUCAAUUUUAUGUGCUUGGUGAUCAGAAUCUACUUUAGGACAGUUUAUAUUUUGCAUUCUGAUGUACCUAGGAGUUUUGUUAAACAGAUCAUGUGUGUGAGUAUUUAUCCUUUAUUUUAUGCAAUUAACCAAAUCAACCAAAAAAGUGACCACGAAAUCCUGUAUUUGUCUUUUUACUACAUGUAUGAACUCUCUCAUGUGAAUGAGUACUGUAGUAAUCCAUUUUAAGGGAGCCUUACUUCAGAAAUAUUUCAAACUGGUGCAAAUAGAAAAGACUUUUUUCUUUUCCUUUAAGGCUAAAGACAAGAAUGUCAUGCUAUACAGGUGCAACUCAAUAUUUGUUAAUAAAAACCAGUGUAGAUAUAGACAUUUUACCAUUUAAAGUAGCUGUGUCCCAACCUGUAGCCAUUCAUUUUUUGGAAAUGGCUUUAGAAAUUUCCAGGUUGCUCUUGAAUUGUCUAACCACAGACAUUAGCAGAUGUCUUCCUUCUACCAUGUAGAAUACUUUGACUUAAUUUUCUUCCAGAUAUAGGGGAUACCUGCCUGUUUUUCCAAGUGUUUAUUUACUGCUGUUAUUAUCUGAUUAGAAUGUAUUAAAUAAAAAAACUUGACUUUAAAAAAAAAUGAAUUGUAAAAGGGUAAGGUUCAACUGACAACUGAACUUAGGUUCAGUAAAACAACUGAAUACC
Non-coding RNA from Microcebus murinus (gray mouse lemur), 2087 nucleotides. The record is from RefSeq and is a predicted model, not a curated record. Lineage: Eukaryota; Metazoa; Chordata; Mammalia; Primates; Cheirogaleidae.